UACGGAAGGUGCAAGCGUUGUUCGGAGUGACUGGGCGUAAAGGGCGCGUAGGCUGGAUGGUAAGAAGAUUGUGAAAACCCCGGGCUUAACCUGGGACGUGCAGUUUUGACUGCCAUUCUUGAAUGUCCGAGAGGUUAGUGGAAUUGCAGGUGUAGGAGUGAAAUCCGUAGAUAUCUGCAGGAACACCAGUGGCGAAGGCGACUCUCUGGUCUGUAACUGGCGCUGAGGCGCGAAAGCGUGGGGAGCAAACAGG
RNAcentral lists this ribosomal RNA (253 nucleotides) under uncultured bacterium. RNAcentral describes it as "partial 16S ribosomal RNA". It matches the Rfam family "Bacterial small subunit ribosomal RNA", at positions 524 to 776 of the family's 1533-position model. The record is from RNAcentral.